GGCGCUGUGGGCUGCUGGGCUCAGGCCUAGAGGCGCCCUUCAAAACGAACAGCCUGGGUGCUGUGGAGGGCACGUUGAUGGCAGCAAAAGGAAGACAGGCUACUGGACAGAAAGGGACGGGUCCCAGUGAAGCCCCACCUUCAAGCCAGGGAUGGCUUCAAUCCUGGAGGCCGCGCUGUCAGUUCCGGUCGGAGUCUGUGGCCUGGAGUGAGCACUAAUGGUUCUUUUUCCAGGCCCGCCCAUGGCCACCCAUGGACCAAUCAGCAUGCACUUCCUCCCUUCUGAACCCAUAAAAACCCCGCUCCCCGGACGCAGCCGGAGUCACGCGAAGUCGGAAGUACCAGCUGCGGGAAGGAGCUGCCCACUGUGCGUCUUCUCAACUUGUUGGGACAACCUUCCUGCGGAAAGGAGAGACAACCUUCCUGCAGAAAGGAGCUACCUGCUUCAGGUCUACUGAGAGCUGUUCUGCCACUCAAUAAAGCUCUUCUCCAUCUUGCUAAGCCUCCAUUUGUCCGCAAUACCUCAUCUCCCUGGACGCAGGACAAGAACUCAGGACCCGCCUGGAGGUGCCCACAGCAGAAUCCACAUGCCGUCCAUCUGGUCCAGCCUCACGCAGAGCCACAACUGUGCUGGCGCCUGGAGCUGCCAGCCCCACUGCAGCAGCCGGACUGACAUUCAGACGUGGAGCAAGUUGGACUGCAUAGGGACCCACCAGUGAGAUGGACGCUGUCUGUAAACGAUGACUUCUAGGAAGAAAAGAAAAAAUUCUGAUUAAACAGCCAUAUUCAUGCUGGAAGUCUACACUUUGAAUUUCUUGCACUCCAAGAUUCUAACUGUUGACCAGUUAUCAGCUGACAUUCUAUAUAUGUUUGAUGAGUAGCUGAAUGGCUGAAAAGAUUAGUGCAAACUAAAGAAUUACUAAAGUCCUGAAUGUGAUGUUUGGUUAUGUCUAUAAUUUAUAGAAUUUUCCCUAUUAUUUUAAAUGCUAACAUUUCAUGGAAGUAUAUUUGAAUAUAAAAGAUUAUAAAAUUACUAAUCCAGCAUUUUAAAAAUCCCCUGCUGAAUUUCUUAGAAGCAGAUAUAAAUAAUAUAUUCUCUAGGUAAUUUCAUGUAUUUAUUUUUUUCUUUCAUGUUCUAAUUUUGUUGAGACAAAAGGAGGGCUUUUUCUUUCAACCAAAAUAAUCAGAAAUCUUAUCAGUUUAGUAAUUAGGGAUUGAAAUACAAAGCUAGUGAAGUAAGGCUACAUUGCAAAGUCUGAUAGUGUACAGUAGUUUAAUGUUUAUUUCUCUGGCAUCAUGUCCUCUCUGUAAGAGAAUGUGUUGGAAGGUAAGCACAAAUAGUUUUUUGCUUGACAUGCUGUAUUUCGUCAUGCUGCUAAUUAGCACAAACACUUACUCCAAGAAGUGAAAUCAUUACUUUCUCUGGGAGUAACUGAGAGGUUCUUUGUAGUGGAGAAAAAGCCCAGGUGUCCAGCUUGAAAUAGCAAUUACCACCCAGGUGUCUGUCGUAGUAACAACAAAAUACUUUAGCUAAAAAUCCAAGAAGAAGAAUGGAACUGCUUCAUUCUUUCUAUGUUGGAUGGCAUUCACGAAUAUGUAUUAGUAAAUAAAAUAAUUAUCUCUUGCUGUGUAAAAAACUACUUCAAAAUUUAGCAGCUUAAAACAGCAAGCAUUUAUUAUCUCACAUGGUUUCUGAGAGUCAGAAAUCUGGGAGCAGCUGAGCUGGGUGGCUCUAGCUCUGGACGUCUUGUGAGGUUUUACUCCAGCCGUUGCCUGGACAGUCACCUGAAGCUUAGCUGGGGCUGGAGGGUCUGCUUGCAAGCUCCCUCCUCUGGCUGUUGGCAGAAGGCCUCAGUUUCUCACUAUGUGGGCCUCUCCGUAGGACUGCUUGCAACAAGGCAGCUGGUUUCUCUCAGGGUGAAUUAUGAGAGAGAAAGAGAUAAAAAUUGAACGUCUUUUAUAGCAUAAUACCAUCCCUUCUACUAUAUCCUGUUGGUCACAUUGACCAACUCUGGCACAAUGCAGGAAGGAACUACAAAGAGUGUGAAUUCAGGAGGUGGAGACUAUUGGGGGCCAUCUUGGAAGCUGAUAAUCACCAGGUACUAAACUUGUUCCAGGAAGUACCCCAGGCAUAGAUAAUACAUGUAUGAAUAGGACAAUUUAUUUAUUCCUUUUAUUAGUCUUGUGAUCAAUAGAACAUGUAUUUAAUAUCUACUAUAUGCCAGCAUCUGUGUUACACAAAAGGUAUUCUAAAGUAAAUAAGACAUGAGCUUAUCCUUAUAUUCUGGCGGGAGAGAUAAAUAUGUCAGUAAAUAGACAAUGGUGUUCCACUCUAACAUAAAAGAGAUUACACUAAGUAUUGUAGGGGCAUUUUGGAGAGAGGUUGCGUAGAGAAUGUGCAAAGUUGAGCAAUUGCUCCGAAGUGCAUUUGAGUAGGAUAGACAGAGCGAUUAGCGUUGAGAGCUACAGCCACUCAGUAUUUUAGAAGAAUGAAAUAGCAUGCAUAUAGAUUUACUUUUGCAAAUACAGGUGCAACAGUGUCUCUUGCCCUAUGUGCUCUUCUUCAACGUGACCUGGACAUUUUCCCAUCUAGAAUUGGGAUCUAUUUCUCUGUGCUCUUAAAUCUGAGGGUCUUGGGAACUGCCUUCACUAAUAGACUAUGGUAGAAGUGUUGCCAUGCCUUUUUCUGUUAUAGCCUUUAGCUAGCUGCGCAGUUUCUACUGCCUGCCUCUUGGAAUCUAGCUUCCGUGUAAAAAGUGAGACUUCUUUUAGAUACCCUUGCUGCAAGAAGGUAAGCCAAGUGAAGAAAGCCUGGAGGAUGAGAAGCCACAUGAAGAGAGAGAGAGGUCAAGAAGCCCUAAGGCACCAGAUGUGAGUAAAGAAGCUAUUUUGAAGAAGAUUCUUCCACCCCAGCUGAUGCAAUAUUGAUCAGAAACGACCACCCUUUGGAGCCGUUUCUACAUUCCUUACCCCAAAAAAUCAUUAGCAAAAUAAAAAUGAUUGCUUUUAGCUAUUAAAUUUUGGGGUAGCCAGUUGUCCUGCAAGAGAUAACUGAAAUAAUGAGCAUGUCACAUUACAUAAUUAGUAAACCAUAUAAUGGAGCUAGCCUAAAUUACAGACUGGGGCAGGCCAGCGUGAAGCUGGCACAAAAUUCAAUGAAAAACAAAACAUACUUUCUGUGUUCUGCCAAAUGCUGUUAGGAAAGAGGUGGACACACUCAACUCUUCUGAAUGGCAGAGUGGCAUAAUGAGAUUCGUGAUUAGAGAUGAUCAUACUGGGAGAAAUUCAGAAGAUAAGUGACACGGUGGAGACAUUUGAGGAAAGCGGCACCAUUCUUCUUUUAUUAUUAUUAUACUUUAAGUUCUGGAAUACACGUGCAGAACAUGCAGGCUUGUUAGAUAGGUAUACAUGUGCCAUAGUGGUUUGCUGUACCCAUCAACCCAUCAUCUAGGUUUUAAGCCCCACAUGCAUUAGGUAUUUGUCCUAAUGCUCUCCCUCCGCUUGGCCCCAGCGUGUGAUGUUCCCCUCCCUGUGUCCAUGUGUUCUCAUUGUUCAACUCCCACUUAUGAGUGAACAUUCAGAUGCAGCACCGUUCUUAUACGUGCUCUUGAAAUUGACCAUACAAGGAUGAUGAAGGCAGACAAUGGAAGAGUCACAGCAUAGAGAGGAGCAACACACUUAGAAAAAAUUAGUAAUCAGAAUCACGGAGGUUUGAUUAGGAGAAAGGAGUGAGAGAACAAUUGUUGCAGAUGACUCUACAAUGCUUUGCAAUCGUCUAAGAAAGCAAACACAGGAAAAGGAGUAGCUAUAGUGGGGCAAAGGUGGCUAAUGAGUCGGUUUCAAAUGUGUUGAAUUUGAGGUGCCUAUGGGAUUUUUAAUGACUGCAGUCAAGUAUUGGAAAAGCGAUUGUACUAUGGUUUUACUCUGCCAUCAUUUUCCCCUCUCUCACACUUCCUGAUUAUUUUUAAUAGAGGGCAGCAAUCCAAGAGAUGUUGGUUGCUACUGAGUUCCCACUAAUAGCUUCAUACAGAUUCUCACAUUGUAAUGGUCCUAACAUCCCAACAACCCACUUUUCCCAUUUGGUAUUUUUUUUUUGAUAUCUAAUUACAGGCAUAAGAUCUCAGUAAUGACUGGGUUACAUUUUCUGCUAGACAAAUUAUGGACAUAAUUAUAGGCACAUGUUCAGUAUAAUAUCGAAACAUCUGAUGCUUCUAUAGAGAAGAUAAUUGUCAAUCUUUGUAGUGUAAUUAAGUCUAAAUGGGAAUCCUCAUCAUUUUCCAAAUGAGCAAACAGUGAGCUAGUCUUGAUUGGCUGUGUCAUGGCAGCUAGUGAAAUGGAUUUGCUGUGUAGGUUAAUUAGUCAUGUAUGAAUGUCACAACCCUCAGAAAACUCGACAUUAGCUCUAAGUAUUAGAGUUAAUUAGCAGUACAUUGUUGCAACUCUCCAUGAUAUUUACCUGGCUUAUCUUUGGAAAUCUAGCCUUUCAUUUUUUUUUCCUGAAUCUUUCUUCUCAUAGUGAUUCAGAGCAUUUAAAUUUUCUACCCAUGAAUUCCAAUAAACAUGAGAGAGCACAGGAGCAAGGAUUUACAGUGAAACAGACCUGGGUUCAAAUCCCUUUCAAUUUCAUUCUUACAGUGAACAUUUUGACUAUUUACUGUUAAUAUCUCUCAGUUUCAGUAGUUUAUCCAUAAAUACCUGUUUAAUCUUAUUUUUAAUGCUUUUUUAAAUAAACUUGAGGCAUUCAUAAGUCUUUUCC
This 4755-nucleotide long non-coding RNA is filed under the name Homo sapiens (human). Its description in RNAcentral is "HSALNT0224976". The record is from RNAcentral. Lineage: Eukaryota; Metazoa; Chordata; Mammalia; Primates; Hominidae.